CCUACGGGAGACAGCAGUGAGGAAUAUUGGUCAAUGGCCGAGAGGCUGAACCAGCCAAGUCGCGUGAGGGAAGACGGCCCUACGGGUUGUAAACCUCUUUUGUCGGGGAGCAAAGAGAGUCACGUGUGGCUCAUUGCGAGUACCCGAAGAAAAAGCAUCGGCUAACUCCGUGCCAGCAGCCGCGGUAAUACGGAGGAUGCGAGCGUUAUCCGGAUUUAUUGGGUUUAAAGGGUGCGCAGGCGGAGGUGCAAGUCAGCGGUAAAAUUGCGGGGCUCAACCCCGUACUGCCGUUGAAACUGGAGUCCUUGAGUGCGCGAGAAGUAUGCGGAAUGCGUGGUGUAGCGGUGAAAUGCAUAGAUAUCACGCAGAACUCCGAUUGCGAAGGCAGCAUACCGGCGCGCAACUGACGCUCAUGCACGAAAGCGUGGGUAUCGAACAGGAUUAGAUACCCGAGUAGUC
RNAcentral lists this ribosomal RNA (459 nucleotides) under uncultured bacterium. Its description in RNAcentral is "partial 16S ribosomal RNA". It matches the Rfam family "Bacterial small subunit ribosomal RNA", at positions 338 to 795 of the family's 1533-position model. The record is from RNAcentral.